CCUACGGGAGGCAGCAGUGGGGAAUAUUGCACAAUGGGGGAAACCCUGAUGCAGCGACGCCGCGUGAGUGAAGAAGUAUUUCGGUACGUAAAGCUCUAUCAGCAGGGAAGAAAAUGACGGUACCUGACUAAGAAGCCCCGGCUAACUACGUGCCAGCAGCCGCGGUAAUACGUAGGGGGCAAGCGUUAUCCGGAUUUACGGGGUUUAAAGGGAGCGUAGACGGCAGCGCAAGUCUGGAGUGAAAUCCCAUGGCUUAACCAUGGAACUGCUUUGGAAACUGUGCAGCUAGAGUGCAGGAGAGGUAAGCGGAAUUCCUAGUGUAGCGGUGAAAUGCGUAGAUAUUAGGAGGAACACCAGUGGCGAAGGCGGCUUACUGGACUGUAACUGACGUUGAGGCUCGAAAGCGUGGGGAGCAAACAGGAUUAGAUACCCUUGUAGUC
Molecule: ribosomal RNA, 440 nt
Filed under: uncultured bacterium
Lineage: Bacteria
Description: partial 16S ribosomal RNA
Rfam family: Bacterial small subunit ribosomal RNA
Source: RNAcentral